GUAACUAUAGUUUAACAAAAACAUUAGAUUGUGGUUCUAAAAAUAAGGGUUAAAUCCCCUUUAAUUACC
Molecule: transfer RNA, 69 nt
Filed under: Neotrygon kuhlii (spotted stingray)
Lineage: Eukaryota; Metazoa; Chordata; Chondrichthyes; Myliobatiformes; Dasyatidae
Description: tRNA-His
Rfam family: tRNA
About the family: Transfer RNA (tRNA) molecules are approximately 80 nucleotides in length.
Source: RNAcentral